GUGCAGUUGGUGUCCUGGAGCCAGAGUAUUGUGGCUUGGACAGGAGGUGGAAUGCUAUCUGUGCAUUCUUGUUUCUACAUCUCAUUCACUGCCAUGACAUGGAAGGCUAUGGAUGCAACGAAAUUUUGACAAUCCAUUCAACAGCUUUUUCCAGAUCAGUUGAGGAGGGAUCUGCAUUCAACUCAAUCAGGACAGGCAAUUUACAAGUUCGCUGGUGACACCACACAGUCGGUCAAAUCAGACUACAGACUACAGACAAGAGG
This is a non-coding RNA of Chiloscyllium plagiosum (whitespotted bambooshark), 263 nucleotides long. NCBI's taxonomy places the organism in Eukaryota, Metazoa, Chordata, Chondrichthyes, Orectolobiformes, Hemiscylliidae. The record is from RefSeq and is a predicted model, not a curated record.